This 67-nucleotide transfer RNA is filed under the name Solenopsis substituta. RNAcentral describes it as "tRNA-Asn". The record is from RNAcentral. Lineage: Eukaryota; Metazoa; Arthropoda; Insecta; Hymenoptera; Formicidae.
UUAACUAAAACCAAAAAGAGGUAAAUUAUUGUUAAUAAUUUAAUUGAAAUUUAAAAAUCUAGUUGAA